AUUGAACGCUGGCGGCAUGCUUUACACAUGCAAGUCGAACGGCAGCGCGGGCUUCGGCCUGGCGGCGAGUGGCGAACGGGUGAGUAAUGCAUCGGAACGUGCCCAGUAGUGGGGGAUAGCCCGGCGAAAGCCGGAUUAAUACCGCAUACGACCUGAGGGUGAAAGCGGGGGACCGAAAGGCCUCGCGCUAUUGGAGCGGCCGAUGUCGGAUUAGCUAGUUGGUGGGGUAAAGGCUUACCAAGGCGACGAUCCGUAGCUGGUCUGAGAGGACGACCAGCCACACUGGGACUGAGACCAGGCCCAGACUCCUACGGGAGGCAGCAGUGGGGAAUUUUGGACAAUGGGGGCAACCCUGAUCCAGCCAUGCCGCGUGCGGGAAGAAGGCCUUCGGGUUGUAAACCGCUUUUGUUCGGGAAGAAAUCCUCUGGGCUAAUACCCCGGGGGGAUGACGGUACCGGAAGAAUAAGCACCGGCUAACUACGUG
This 484-nucleotide ribosomal RNA is filed under the name uncultured bacterium. RNAcentral's name for it is "partial 16S ribosomal RNA". It matches the Rfam family "Bacterial small subunit ribosomal RNA", at positions 28 to 507 of the family's 1533-position model. The record is from RNAcentral.